RNAcentral lists this ribosomal RNA (253 nucleotides) under uncultured bacterium. RNAcentral's name for it is "partial 16S ribosomal RNA". It matches the Rfam family "Bacterial small subunit ribosomal RNA", at positions 524 to 776 of the family's 1533-position model. The record is from RNAcentral.
UACGGAGGAUCCGAGCGUUAUCCGGAUUUAUUGGGUUUAAAGGGUGCGUAGGCGGCCUAUUAAGUCAGGGGUGAAAGACGGCAGCUUAACUGUCGCAGUGCCUUUGAUACUGAUGGGCUUGAAUGCGGAUGAGGUAGGCGGAAUGAGACAAGUAGCGGUGAAAUGCAUAGAUAUGUCUCAGAACUCCGAUUGCGAAGGCAGCUUACUAAGUCGUGAUUGACGCUGAUGCACGAAAGCGUGGGGAUCAAACAGG